GAUGAACGCUAGCGGCAGGCCUAAUACAUGCAAGUCGAGGGAGAAUGUUGGAUUCGUCUGACAUGAAACCGGCGCACGGGUGCGUAACACGUAUGCAACCUACCUUUAACUGGGGUAUAGCUCAGAGAAAUCUGAAUUAAUCCCCCAUAAGACUACGACAUGGCAUCAUGAUGUAGUUAAAGCUCCGGCGGUUAAGGAUGGGCAUGCGGUACAUUAGCUAGUUGGUGAGGUAAUGGCUCACCAAGGCUACGAUGUAUAGGGGGUCUGAGAGGAUGAUCCCCCACACGGGUACUGAGACACGGACCAGACUCCUACGGGAGGCAGCAGGAGGGAAUAUUGGUCAAUGGACGCAAGUCUGAACCAGCCAUGCCGCGUGAAGGAUGAAGGCCCUAUGGGUCGUAAACUUCUUUUAUUAGGGAAGAAAAAACGGGAUGCGUCCUGUACUGACGGUACUUAAUGAAUAAGGAUCGGCUAACUUCGUGCCAGCAGCCGCCGCAG
RNAcentral lists this ribosomal RNA (498 nucleotides) under uncultured bacterium. Its description in RNAcentral is "partial 16S ribosomal RNA". It matches the Rfam family "Bacterial small subunit ribosomal RNA", at positions 28 to 523 of the family's 1533-position model. The record is from RNAcentral.